GACGAACGCUGGCGGCGUGCUUAACACAUGCCAGUCGAACGGAAAGGCCCUGCUUUUGUGGGUUGCUCGAGUGGCGAACGGGUGAGUAACACGUGAGUAACCUGCCCUUGACUUUGGGAUAACUUCAGGAAACUGGGGCUAAUACCGGAUAGGAGCUCCUGCUGCAUGGUGGGGGUUGGAAAGUUUCGGCGGUUGGGGAUGGACUCGCGGCUUAUCAGCUUGUUGGUGGGGUAGUGGCUUACCAAGGCUUUGACGGGUAGCCGGCCUGAGAGGGUGACCGGCCAAAUUGGGACUGAGAUACGGCCCAGACUCCUACGGGAGGCAGCAGUGGGGAAUAUUGCACAAUGGGCGGAAGCCUGAUGCAGCAACGCCGCGUGCGGGAUGACGGCCUUCGGGCUGUAAACCGCUUUCGCCUGUGACGAAGCGUGAGUGACGGUAAUGGGUAAAGAAGCACCGGCUAACUACGUG
Molecule: ribosomal RNA, 468 nt
Filed under: uncultured bacterium
Lineage: Bacteria
Description: partial 16S ribosomal RNA
Rfam family: Bacterial small subunit ribosomal RNA
Source: RNAcentral